RNAcentral lists this ribosomal RNA (312 nucleotides) under uncultured bacterium. RNAcentral's name for it is "bacterial SSU rRNA". It matches the Rfam family "Bacterial small subunit ribosomal RNA", at positions 28 to 306 of the family's 1533-position model. The record is from RNAcentral.
GACGAACGCUGGCGGCGUGCCUAAUACAUGCAAGUCGAGCGAGCUUGCCUAGAUGAUUUUAGUGCUUGCACUAAAUGAAACUAGAUACAAGCGAGCGGCGGACGGGUGAGUAACACGUGGGUAACCUGCCCAAGAGACUGGGAUAACACCUGGAAACAGAUGCUAAUACCGGAUAACAACACUAGACGCAUGUCUAGAGUUUGAAAGAUGGUUCUGCUAUCACUCUUGGAUGGACCUGCGGUGCAUUAGCUAGUUGGUAAGGUAACGGCUUACCAAGGCAAUGAUGCAUAGCCCGAGUUUGGGAGACGUACG